GACGGAUUUAAAAUAGUCCUUAAAAAGAAAUGUUCRUUUCUCCCCAAAGUUACAAGACCUCCAGGUUGAAUUCCACAAUGAUGGGGAGAGAAAGUGCAAAGGGUUCUGUCUCACGCACGGCAUUAAGAAUGAACUUGGGCAUAUGCAGACCUGUGGGCUGCAGCUCCGAGGGGGCAAGCUCCCGCUUUGGGGGUGAGAAAUGAGCGUGUGCAGAGAAGCCAUCUGGGAAAACUCUUCCACUAAUUUGAACUGAACCAAGCUGAGACCCUCAGCACUUCUUUCCAUUGAGAUCCAAGCUGAACAAUGACACAAUCUGAAGGCUGAUGUUCAGUUGUGAGAUACCCAUGUGUCCUCGCCUAACAGCUGUCACGAUGGACAGUUGGAUCUCUGUAAAGAACACAAGUUUCUGCAUCUUAAUUAUUCAAGAAAAAGUUUGGCUCAGUUUACCUUUGCUGUUCACACCUCACCUUGUCCAAAAAUAUCUUCUAAACUCAGAAUUCCUAAGAGGACCUUGAAGAAGUGCCAAAGUCCUUCAACUGCCUCCUGGGAAACAUUAGGGUUAUUCAUGGCUUCCUCCUUUGGUGGCUGCAGCGUCUUCUGACUGUUGUGACGGAGCCUGACGCUGGCCAGCGGCCACCACCRAGCUUAAGCAUGGAGUCAAAGGGGGCCCUGAAGGCAGCCUUUCAUCUUGGGAUGCAACCUCACCUAUGCCUAACCUGUCACCCUGGGUUUUUGAAUUCAUAAAUUCCUCUCCUUAUUUAUUUAUUUAUUUGCAAUAAAACAUUUAGAGUUGAAUUUUCU
Molecule: long non-coding RNA, 801 nt
Filed under: Urocitellus parryii (Arctic ground squirrel)
Lineage: Eukaryota; Metazoa; Chordata; Mammalia; Rodentia; Sciuridae
Description: lncRNA (ENSUPAG00010001040.1)
Source: RNAcentral